This 253-nucleotide ribosomal RNA is filed under the name uncultured bacterium. RNAcentral's name for it is "partial 16S ribosomal RNA". It matches the Rfam family "Bacterial small subunit ribosomal RNA", at positions 524 to 776 of the family's 1533-position model. The record is from RNAcentral.
UACAGAGGGGGCAAGCGUUGUUCGGAAUUACUGGGCGUAAAGGGCGCGUAGGCGGCCUGUUAAGUCGAACGUGAAAUCCCCGGGCUCAACCCGGGAACUGCGUCCGAUACUGGCAGGCUUGAAUCCGGGAGAGGGAUGCGGAAUUCCAGGUGUAGCGGUGAAAUGCGUAGAUAUCGGGAGGAACACCAGUGGCGAAGGCGGCUCUCUGGACAGGUACUGACGCUGAGACGCGAAAGCGUGGGUGGCAAACAGG